Molecule: long non-coding RNA, 1413 nt
Organism: Aedes albopictus (Asian tiger mosquito)
Lineage: Eukaryota; Metazoa; Arthropoda; Insecta; Diptera; Culicidae
Exons: 3
Source: RefSeq, a predicted model, not a curated record
CCAUUCCCGUCUGACCUAACCCCACUUUUUUGUAUUUUUCUUCGAAAGACAAUUGCUUUUGAUGAUUAUUGCCGUUUUCAGAUUUUUUUUAUAUGUGCUCCUGAUUUUCUUACAAAUUUUCAAAAACCGAGAAUUUCACCACUUUUCAAAAUAAAAACCGGCAUGCGAAGUAGUUUUUGGUAACCCUAAAGAUGGUGAUCUUUUUUUCACCUCUCAGAAAACGAAGAACAUCUGGGAACUCUAUGGAUGUUUAUUUACAUUUUGAAACGUCAAACAGCAGAUUUUGAAAAAAAAGAUCGAUUCCACAUCAGCAGAACAGAAAGGCCACUACUCGGCGAGUACGUUCAAUCUGACGACGGAACGUCGUGAUUUUCGAUGGAGGUAACAGAAGAACGGCCUGCAAAAGAGCUUCCACGAUGUAGAAGGAGGAGCUGGAUGUUGGAGCGAGCGCGUUGCGGUUGCGGUGACUCGUCGGUACGACGUGAGAUCUUAAACAGGACACCAUCCAGGAGGAAACGGAUGGCCAGACCUAAGACCAAACGCAGCAACCAGUUUCUCUUAUCGAAACUUCCCUGCCGGCUGAAUAAGAACUGUCGCAUCUCUGCUACAGAUUACCUUGCAUCUGGAAGGUGGAUCCUCUUCACAACCCAUUUUAGAUCUUCAGUUUGAACACCCUGUCGAUGGAUAUGCUCCUCAGAAGAUCGGUCGCGACUCGCGAGGAAUUACGUUCAUUCUAAUCGGAUGGAAACAGUGGAAGUCAAUAACAGCAACAAAGUAGGAAAGGAGGCGGGUCACCUAUGAAACGGAUCCUGGUAACUUUUAAAAUAACUCAGUUAUAUUUCACAUUUUUUGAAAUUAUGUUCUAUUCAGUUAUGACAUAAAGUCAUAUAAUUUGAAACCAGUUACUCCAGCGAUUCUGGCAUUCGCCUAAUCCUCUAGAAAUUCCUUCAGGAUAUCGAUUGAGAUUCAUCUAAAAGAUCUUGAUCCUUCAAGGAUUUUCCAGCGACUCCUUCAGAGUUUCUUUCUGAGAUAUCUUGAAGUUUUUCCUCCAGGAGUAAUUGAGGGAUUUCACUUCAUGAGCUUCAGAAUUUUCAUUCAUGAGGUACUUCAGAAUCUUCCUGGGAUUCCUCCAGAAGUUCAUUAAGAGAUUAUUCCAAGAACUUAUUUUGCUUAAUAGUUCAUACAUGGAUUCCCUCAGGGGUUCCUUGAGCUAUUCAAUCAGGAGCCAAUCAAGGAUUUAUCCAGAUGUACUUCAGGGAUUUCUCCAGAAAUGCCUUCAGGAAUUCUUCCAGGGGUUUCUAGAGGUGCUUUCGAAUAUCCUUCAAGGAUUUAUCUAGUAUUUCUUACCUCCAGAGUACUUUCAGAGAUUCUUUAGGGAUUCCUUCCGAAGAUUUCUCCAGAAAUUCUCCCUGG